RNAcentral lists this transfer-messenger RNA (363 nucleotides) under Rhodospirillaceae bacterium. It matches the Rfam family "Alphaproteobacteria transfer-messenger RNA". From Rfam's summary of the family: Bacterial tmRNA, also known as 10Sa RNA or SsrA, is named for its dual tRNA and mRNA-like properties. The record is from RNAcentral. RNAcentral also lists the same sequence under 1 other name. Lineage: Bacteria; Pseudomonadati; Pseudomonadota; Alphaproteobacteria; Rhodospirillales; Rhodospirillaceae.
AAGGUGGCGUGGGACGACGUUUAGGCUUAUAUUGGGCGUGCCGCUUCGGCGGCUAUGGCGCUAAACACGUUGUGAAAUAAACGUUUCGGACCCGGGGGCAGUGCCCGGCGGCUCCACCAAUUCCCGGCCCGCGCCGACUUUAUAAGUCCGCCGCGGGUCGCUGUGGGGCCGAUCCAGGAUCGACGGGCGUAAUAAAGACAACGCUUGUGCUCGGCAUGGUACCGCCGUUAUCGGGCUAAAUCUAGAAGUGCCAACGACAACGUUGCACUCGUUGAGGACGUCCGUCUCGCCGCCUAACGGCCGCUAGAUUAUAUGUCCAAAGCGCGGUUCGGGGGGGCACCGGGCAACAGAAGCCCCCCCACU